RNAcentral lists this ribosomal RNA (1906 nucleotides) under Alphaproteobacteria bacterium HGW-Alphaproteobacteria-13. Its description in RNAcentral is "bacterial LSU rRNA". It matches the Rfam family "Bacterial large subunit ribosomal RNA", at positions 1 to 2011 of the family's 2925-position model. Lineage: Bacteria; Pseudomonadati; Pseudomonadota; Alphaproteobacteria. The record is from RNAcentral.
GUGGACUCUCAAGCGUGAGGUAAGGGCAUUUGGUGAAUGCCUUGGCAUGCAGAGGCGAUGAAGGACGUGGCACGCUGCGAUAAGCGUCGGGGAGCUGUGAGCAAGCUUUGAUCCGACGAUUUCCGAAUGGGGAAACCCACCCUCACCAUUUAAUUUCGCCGCCGAGCAAUCGACGACGAAGGUUAAAUGGGAAGGGUAUCACCGAGUUGAAUAAAAUAGACUUGGUGAAGCGAACCCGGGGAACUGAAACAUCUCAGUACCCGGAGGAAAGGACAUCAACAGAGACUCCCGUAGUAGUGGCGAGCGAACCGGGACCAGGCCAAUGCCUUCAAUUCAAGUAGCAGAACACCCUGGAAAGUGUGACCAUAGCGGGUGACAGUCCCGUAUGCGAAACUGAUGUUGAAGGAUUUGAGUAGGGCGGGGCACGUGUAACCCUGUCUGAACGUGGGGGGACCACCCUCCAAGCCUAAGUACUCCUGCAUGACCGAUAGUGAACCAGUACCGUGAGGGAAAGGUGAAAAGCACCCCGAUGAGGGGAGUGAAACAGUACCUGAAACCGAAUGCCUACAAGCAGUAGGAGGGUCCUUGAGGCCUGACUGCGUACCUCUUGCAUAAUGGGUCAGUGACUUAGUGUAUCAAGCAAGCUUAAGCCGUUAGGUGUAGGCGCAGCGAAAGCGAGUCUGAAUAGGGCGAAUGAGUUUGAUGCAUUAGACCCGAAACCCGGUGAUCUAGGCAUGACCAGGUUGAAGGUGCGGUAACACGCACUGGAGGACCGAACCGUUCAAUGUUGAAAAAUUGUCGGAUGAGUUGUGUUUAGGGGUGAAAGGCCAAUCAAACCGGGAAAUAGCUGGUUCUCCGCGAAAUCUAUUGAGGUAGAGCGUCGGAUGAAUACCUUGGGGGGUAGAGCACUGGAUGGAUGCGGGGGUCGCGAGAUCUACCAAUUCUAACCAAACUCCGAAUACCCAAGAGUAAUAUCCGGCAGACAGACGGCGGGUGCUAAGGUCCGUCGUCAAAAGGGAAACAGCCCUGACCUACAGCUAAGGUCCCCAAGUCACGUCUAAGUGGGAAAGCAUGUGGGAAUCCCAAAACAACCAGGAGGUUGGCUUAGAAGCAGCCAUCCUUUAAAGAAAGCGUAACAGCUCACUGGUCUAAAUAAGGGUUCCUGCGGCGAAAAUGUAACGGGGCUCAAGACGUGCACCGAAGCUUAGGGUGUGUAGUUUACUACACGCGGUAGCGGAGCGUUCCGUAGGCUGAUGAAGCGGUCUGGUAAUGGACCGUGGAGGUAUCGGAAGUGCGAAUGCUGACAUGAGUAGCGAUAAAGAGGGUGAGAUGCCCUCUCGCCGAAAUCCCAAGGGUUCCUGCUUAAAGCUAAUCUGAGCAGGGUAAGCCGGCCCCUAAGACGAGCCCGAAGGGGGUAGUCGAUGGGAACCACGUUAAUAUUCGUGGGCCUGGAGGUGUGUGACGGAUCUCGUAAAUUGUCUGAUCUUAUUGGAUUGGUCAGGCUUUGAAGAGGUUCCAGGAAAUAGCCCCUCCAUUAUAGACCGUACCCUAAACCGACACAGGUGGGAUGGUAGAGUAUACCAAGGCGCUUGAGAGAAGUCUCCUGAAGGAACUCGGCAAAUUGCCUCCGUACCUUCGGAAGAAGGAGGCCCCACAUUUGGGCAACCAUUUGUGGGGGGCACAGGCCAGGGGGUAGCGACUGUUUAGCAAAAACACAGGGCUCUGCUAAGUCGGCUUCAAGACGACGUAUAGGGCCUGACGCCUGCCCGGUGCCUGAAGGUUAAGUGGAGGGGUGCAAGCUCCGAAAUGAAGCCCAGGUAAACGGCGGCCGUAACUAUAACGGUCCUAAGGUAGCGAAAUUCCUUGUCGGGUAAGUUCCGACCUGCACGAAUGGCGUAACGACUUC